GAUGAACGCUGGCGGCGUGCCUAAUACAUGCAAGUCGAGCGAACAGAUGAGGAGCUUGCUCCUCUGACGUUAGCGGCGGACGGGUGAGUAACACGUGGAUAACCUACCUAUAAGACUGGGAUAACUUCGGGAAACCGGAGCUAAUACCGGAUAAUAUAUUGAACCGCAUGGUUCAAUAGUGAAAGACGGUUUUGCUGUCACUUAUAGAUGGAUCCGCGCCGCAUUAGCUAGUUGGUAAGGUAACGGCUUACCAAGGCAACGAUGCGUAGCCGACCUGAGAGGGUGAUCGGCCACACGGGAACUGAGACACGGUCCAGACUCCUACGGGAGGCAGCAGUAGGGAAUCUUCCGCAAUGGGCGAAAGCCUGACGGAGCAACGCCGCGUGAGUGAUGAAGGUCUUCGGAUCGUAAAACUCUGUUAUUAGGGAAGAACAAAUGUGUAAGUAACUAUGCACGCCUUGACGGUACCUAAUCAGAAAGCCACGGCUAACUACGUG
Molecule: ribosomal RNA, 497 nt
Filed under: uncultured bacterium
Lineage: Bacteria
Description: partial 16S ribosomal RNA
Rfam family: Bacterial small subunit ribosomal RNA
Source: RNAcentral